This 496-nucleotide ribosomal RNA is filed under the name uncultured bacterium. RNAcentral describes it as "bacterial SSU rRNA". It matches the Rfam family "Bacterial small subunit ribosomal RNA", at positions 29 to 518 of the family's 1533-position model. The record is from RNAcentral.
AUGAACGCUAGCGACAGGCCUAACACAUGCAAGUCGAGGGGCAGCACAAGGAGCAAUCUGAGGUGGCGACCGGCGCACGGGUGAGUAACACGUAUGCAACCUGCCUGUAAGCGGGGAAUAACCCGUUGAAAGACGGACUAAUACCGCAUAAUACUAAAUUACUGCAUGGUAAUUUAUUUAAACAUUUAUGGCUUACAGAUGGGCAUGCGCAUGAUUAGCUAGUUGGAGAGGUAACGGCUCCCCAAGGCAACGAUCAUUAGGGGUUCUGAGAGGAAGGUCCCCCACACUGGUACUGAGACACGGACCAGACUCCUACGGGAGGCAGCAGUGAGGAAUAUUGGUCAAUAGACGAGAGUCUGAACCAGCCAAGUCGCGUGCAGGAAGAAUGUCCUUAAUGGAUUGUAAACUGCUUUUGCAGGGGAAUAAAGUGCAUCACGUGUGAUGUUUUGUAUGUACUCUGCGAAUAAGGAUCGGCUAACUCCGUGCCAGCAGCGGC